AUGCAGUGUGGAUUUACAUUGCUGCUUAUCCAAAAGCUAAGUUGGGGGUGGUCUGCAGCAUGGAAACUGCUAGUCCAGCAUGACAGAGAUCCUUGUGAGACGCUACCACGGUCAAGUGGUUUCAGAUGGAAACUACUACAGCAAAGCGAUGCCUUUGGACCCUGUGUUGGAAGUGAAGUGCAAUAUCAGCUGUCAAGGUCAAGUAAGCAAGGGCUGAACCCCCCCUGCCAACCAGCUGAUGGAGCCUCUUUGCUGCCCUUGAGCUGCUAUUACGAGCCUUCCAGAAGUAUUAUGGGAUUUUGUGAUGAAGCCUUUACCUUUUCCACUUGA
RNAcentral lists this long non-coding RNA (330 nucleotides) under Parus major (Great Tit). Its description in RNAcentral is "lncRNA (ENSPMJG00000013865.1)". The record is from RNAcentral. Lineage: Eukaryota; Metazoa; Chordata; Aves; Passeriformes; Paridae.